RNAcentral lists this ribosomal RNA (479 nucleotides) under Medicago sativa (alfalfa). RNAcentral describes it as "eukaryotic LSU rRNA". The stretch from base 315 to 479 matches the Rfam family "Eukaryotic large subunit ribosomal RNA", at positions 1 to 165 of the family's 3401-position model. Lineage: Eukaryota; Viridiplantae; Streptophyta; Magnoliopsida; Fabales; Fabaceae. The record is from RNAcentral.
UGGUGUGAAUUGCAGAAUCCCGUGAACCAUCGAGUUUUUGAACGCAAGUUGCGCCCGAUGCCAUUAGGUUGAGGGCACGUCUGCCUGGGUGUCACAUAUCGAAUCCCCUUGCCAAUUUCCUAUUUAUUAGGUAUUGCGUGCAGGGUGAAUAUGUUGGCCUCCCGUGAGCUCUGUCUCGUGGUUGGUUGAAAAUUGAGACCUUGGUAGGGUGUGCCAUGAUAGAUGGUGGAUGUGUGACCCACGAGACCAAAUCAUGUGCAGCUCUAUUGAACGUGGACUCUUUUACCCACAUGUGUUUUAUAACGCUCGUGAUGAGACCUCAGGUCAGGCGGGGCUACCCGCUGAAUUUAAGCAUAUCAAUAAGCGGAGGAAAAGAAACUAACAAGGAUUCCCUUAGUAACGGCGAGCGAACCGGGAUAAGCCCACCAUGAGAAUCGGUCGCCCUCGGCGUUCGAAUUGUAGUCUGGAGAAAGCGUCAA